This 3316-nucleotide long non-coding RNA is filed under the name Triticum aestivum (bread wheat). Its description in RNAcentral is "long non-coding RNA (TAES_LNC005240)". Lineage: Eukaryota; Viridiplantae; Streptophyta; Magnoliopsida; Poales; Poaceae. The record is from RNAcentral.
GAUCCCUUCCUUCUGCGGGUGCGCGUCGAGAUCCGUUAACAGGCGCCCCCCCUCCGGCUCCGGCGACAGAGAGGGAGGCCACCGACGGCGGCCGGCGACCGAAGAUGUUCCUUGUGGACUGGUUCUACGGGGUGCUCGCGUCGCUCGGACUCUGGCAGAAGGAGGCCAAGAUCCUCUUCCUCGGCCUCGACAACGCCGGCAAGACCACGCUCCUCCACAUGCUCAAGGACGAGGUAGGGAAAAGAACUUCCGCCCUUUCCUUAUUACUUAUGUUCCUUAUAUGAUGGAUUAGUCGUUUUUCGUGCAAUAAGGUUUGGUAGUUUGACGAGGUUGGAGGAAUUGUGAUAGUUCUUGGAUCGGGAUGAUCCGUGUGGUUUUAGGAGUAAUUGAUUGAUCCCUUCCCCUAAUAUAUAUGUUCACGCAUAGUAUCUGUAUUUUUAAAUGAAGUAUUUUGAUUCUAUUCGGAUUUUAGAUUUGGAGACAUCUGUGCCAGUAGAUGUUCAUCUUAGCGGUGAGAGUUCUUGGGGAUUUUCUUUAUAGACCAUUUUCAAACGAACCGUGGAAUUUUCACGGUGCGUUGCCAAAAAAAUUCCAUAUUCUUUAGAUUCGGGUGGCUUCGAUCGUAUGUGGUAAAAGGGGUUCCCAAUUUGGGAGUAGUUGGUGGAUUAGCACCCUGAGUCUUUGUUUCCUGUCGAGGAUAGUAGUGGACAGAUUUCAUUUUGGUAGCCGAGCUGCGUUCUUUCUUUGAGCACUGGAUUGCUUGCCAGAUCUGGAAAACUCCCAUAUAGCACCUUAUAAGAUUUUGCUUCUUCCAGUAAUCCGUGCGUAAAAAGAUUCCAUGUUGAUUUCUUCAAUGCUACCAUGCCUUUUUUCUUAGAAAAGGACCGGCCGUCCUGGGUACUAGCUACCAUGUAAUUCAGGGGCAUGCAAGUCAGAUCUGCUGCAAAUGCUUUUUCAGAGAGUUUAGAUUUUAUUUUAAAGUCAGUAAGUUUGCACACUUAUCGAUAAAGGGGGGGGAUCUUUUUACUAUCCGACCUGGUUUGGUAAUCAGUCUUUUAAGUUACUCAUGACGAUUAUGCUCAGAAGCUGUACAUAAUCAAGUUCAACAUGGAAAGUGCAUGCCAAAUCACAUGUUUGUCCUCCUUUUGGCUGAAUAAAAUCUUACUUGGGUUUGUGUUCCUUCUGGCAGAGGUUGGUUCAGCAUCAGCCUACACAGUAUCCAACUUCUGAAGAGCUGAGCAUCGGGAAGAUCAAGUUCAAGGCAUUUGAUUUAGGAGGCCAUCAGAUUGCUCGCCGUGUGUGGAAGGAUUACUAUGCCAAGGUCUCAUCUUCCUCUAUCUUAUUACUCUCUUUACUAUACAUGAGUUAUUUGGUGCUGUUAUAUCUGUUUAAUGCAUUUCUUCUCCUGUGGUGUAGUUUCUAGAAAUAUUGUGCUGUUGUUUGAUAUGUUUUUCUUUCCAUAUGAAAUACAGAUUAUAGAUACAGUAUGACAGUAGCCCUAAAAGUUCUAUUAAAUGUCAUUAUCAGUGGAUAGUAGUGGUUGGCACGGAUGCACUAGAAUAUGUCCUAACUUUUGUCCCCACAUGUAACACCAGCUGUGCGUUGAGAAAUAUUUAUCAAGUUGUUGGCCGGUGGGGUUAGUGCAUUUUGAACCACAAUCAGCCGACUCCAGUACUCCUAUAUGCUGUCCCACUCCCACCAUUAUGUAGCUAUCAAGAUCCAUGAUAUAACACCAGUGAUAUAUGUGCAAUGUGGCAAUCUAGUUGCUUACGUAAAGUGGGAAUAUGCUUUCAUAUUAGUCUGUGUGCACAAUAAUCUAUUGAAAUACCAGUGGUUUUCCUUUUACCCCCUUUGAAUGUAUAUUAGCAUAAAUGCUGCUGUGACUUUUGUUCUUAUCUACUUUAGAUGUUGCUUCUACCCCAAAAUGGUUUCGUACAAUAUUACGAGGUAGCAAGUCAUUUUGGCAUGUUGGAUUAAGCGGUGUAUGACCAUAGUGAAAGAGUUAUAUUCAUCAGAGUGUUGCAGCAGGAUCAAUUUGGUGACACAAUCGAACUCUGGGAGUCUUAAGUGAUCUAGUCCCAGAUGAUGAAAUGUUAGCAUAAACAUUUACAUUAAUACUGUAGAGUGUGCAGCAGGAUCAGUUUGAGGAUACAAUCGGGCUCCGAGAUUUUGUGUAACUAAAUUUGCCAAACCAUGAAAUAUUAGGUUUGGUGGAACAAAGGGGGACAUAAGAAUAUCUCUGGUGCUGGCAAAGGGGCCAGAUCCAGAAGGGUUAAAUUGGUUUUACAAUGGACACUUGGAUAGGGCUGCAAUUACUAAGAGGGAGAUAAGAACGGUUUUGGGGUAGAAUAAGUUCAUAGUUGAAACAGCAAAUGGAUACAUGUAUAGUAUCAGAUAAACUCAGCAACCAACCUGGCUGGGCAAGACUUUAGCAGGAAUAUCAUUAGGAACGCCCUGAAUAAUAAGGAUUUAUUUUGUAAUGAAAUUGUUUUGUAAUACUGUAGCACCGAACUCUUGAAUUUGCAUCUUGCGGCCAAGAAGGCUUAACUGCUUAAUCAUAGCUUUUGGUGCAUUAUGCGUAUACUCAUGUUGUCUGCAUGCAUGGCGGUCUCUGUUACUCCUGAUGAUGUUGUUCUGACUUAGUAGUGUACUUUUCUGUCAUUCUGAGUACUGGGCGCGGCAACGAUCCUGGACUUCAUCUGUUUGAUGCCAUCUUCUGAUUGUCAUGUGGUCAGGUUGAUGCAGUGGUGUACCUCGUGGACGCCUAUGACAAAGAGAGGUUUGCCGAAUCCAAGAAGGAGCUCGACGCCCUCCUCUCAGACGAUUCGCUGGCCACCGUCCCCUUCCUGAUCCUGGGCAACAAGAUCGACAUCCCCUAUGCCGCCUCAGAGGAAGAGCUCCGCUACCACCUGGGUCUUAGCAACUUCACGACUGGCAAGGGCAAGGUGAGCCUCAGCGAGUCCAAUGUCCGCCCCCUGGAGGUCUUCAUGUGCAGCAUCGUCCGCAAGAUGGGCUAUGGCGAAGGGUUCAAGUGGAUGUCGCAGUAUAUCAAGUAGGUCAGGCAGGGGGGAGUGGUGAAAGAAAAAAAAAAGAGUUAUAAGUAGUCAUGGUGAUAAUCUUGUUUUACCUUACCUUGCCACCAGAGUGUUAGGGAGCUAGCUGGUCAUGGUGCCAGUACAUAUGUGAUGUAAUGGAUGUAGUUCAAAGUCUGGGGACUCCGUCCUAGAUUUUUUUUGGUUGAGUUAUUACAACAAUGUGAUGUCUGAAAAGGUGAUAUGCUUUGAACUCCAUUGCUGGUGCUCCAUGGUAUUCUGAA